Molecule: ribosomal RNA, 482 nt
Filed under: uncultured bacterium
Lineage: Bacteria
Description: partial 16S ribosomal RNA
Rfam family: Bacterial small subunit ribosomal RNA
Source: RNAcentral
GACGAACGCUGGCGGCGUGCUUAACACAUGCAAGUCGAACGCUGAAGCUCAGCUUGCUGGGUGGCUGAGUGGCGAACGGGUGAGUAACACGUGAGUAACCUGCCCUCUUCUUUGGGAUAACGCCCGGAAACGGGUGCUAAUACUGGAUAUUCACUGAUUCUCGCAUGGGGGUUGGUGGAAAGGUUUUUUCUGGUGGGGGAUGGGCUCGCGGCCUAUCAGCUUGUUGGUGGGGUGAUGGCCUACCAAGGCUUUGACGGGUAGCCGGCCUGAGAGGGUGACCGGUCACAUUGGGACUGAGAUACGGCCCAGACUCCUACGGGAGGCAGCAGUGGGGAAUAGUGCACAAUGGGCGAAAGCCUGAUGCAGCGACGCGGCGUGAGGGAUGGAGGCCUUCGGGUUGUAAACCUCUUUCGCUCAUGGCCAAGCCGCAGCAUGGGGUUGUGGUGAGGGUAGUGGGUAAAGAAGCGCCGGCUAACUACGUG